Long non-coding RNA from Nicotiana attenuata, 5183 nucleotides. RefSeq lists it as uncharacterized. The transcript has 3 exons. The record is from RefSeq and is a predicted model, not a curated record. Lineage: Eukaryota; Viridiplantae; Streptophyta; Magnoliopsida; Solanales; Solanaceae.
UCCAUCAUCUAUGCCUCAAUCCCAAAUUGGUCGGAACCAGCUUUAUGUAUCUCCUGCACCAUUCGGCUCUAUUUGGACUGACGUAGCACGUGCCUUGAUGGAGCAUAUUUCAACGAAUUCAGUGUUCGGAGGACUCGUUAUGGCCAUUGUUAGCCGUCAACCCACUGUCACCUUCCUCCUUUAUCCGGCUUGGAAUUGACUAGAAUAAGGUGAGAAAAUAAGUACCUGCCUGAGAGUAGCAAAAAAAGGCUUAACAUUUUGCAAAGGUGUUAUACUUUUAAUGAAGCUUUUGUUAUCUCAAGAAAGACUGACAAAAACAGAUAAAAGCAAACCAAGUCUCACAAAUCACAAUAGCUAGCUAGGGGAAGAACAAAAAGAAAAAAAAUUCUCAUAAUAGUCUCUUACUUACUUCAAAGCAUCAUGCUCUUCUUCCUUUAAUCUAAUGUCCGUGGAGAAGUUGUAGAACCAAUGUAAUAACCUACUAGGAUCCAAGCUGAAAUAAAAGAAGAUGUCAAAACUUUGCUUCCAUUUCCAACUAGGUAGCGUGUAUUUGGACGUAAGUAUGCAUCUGUCAUGAACUCGACAUGCCUACUUGACAUAUCGGACAUAUGUAGAUUUCACUCUACAUAGAUGUUCACUUGUCCUUUCUCUAGACAAAACUUUGCUUCCAUUUCCAACUAGGUAGCAUGUACUUGGACGUAAGUAUGCAUCUGGCAUGAACUCGACAUGCCUACUUGACAUAUCGGACAUAUGUAAAUUUCACUUAUCGCAUCAAAGGCUAGUAUUAAUGGAAAAAUGUGAGGCUCAUAAGCUACCAAAUUAUGGCAAACAAAUUCUUACCCCGAAUUUUUUUGAUAACCGAGAAAUCUCCUAGGGUCAAUGGCGCACUGUUCAAAGUUUGGUGGAUAAUAGGCCCGCACCUCUACCCUUCUUCACUUGAAUAUUAGGCUUUUGUUUGUGGCAGGAUCUAAAACCAUGACGUAUUGACGUGUGCCUAACACACACAUCGCUCUUUACCCUAUUACAACUAGACAAAGCCCUGGGGAAAAUCCUUUUAUCUAGACCUUGAAGCUUGAUCAUUCUUGAAGAUCUUCCAAUGUGCGUAGCUUGUUGAAUCAGUUUCAAGCUCAAGAAUUUUUCGUUUUAUAUCUAGUUAUCAUUUUUCCUCUAACCAAUCUAGAAACAGGAAAGAGCGUGUGAUUUCUCAUUUGGAGGGUGGAGUUGGGGGAGGAAGCAAUUGGAAAUAGAAGCAUGUAGACAUUUUUAGUCAGUGUUUUUGUUCUUAGGGUGAGACUGAGUCAGUUACGCACUCGAAACCUCUAGCUUUUUGGUUCUCUAUCCAAGUAUUAGGUUCAAAACAAUACUAGUACUUCCAGAUCUUAUCUUAUUCUUUUAAAGUACUCUGUCUGUCUUUUACCUCAUGGACUCAAACAAGUUCCUAUCCAACACACUCACUUUACUGCGAAAGUGUAGGACACAAUGUAGCAAGAACUUGGAUGAUCUAUACUGAUGUAUAUAGCUCUAGCGAGCAAGAAAACAUAUAUGCAUAAGAACCAAUAGCUUUGUGCAGCUUAAUAGCUUGCUUCUUGCUUUAUAGAGAUUGCUCGUCAGAUAGGCAUUUUCAAUAAAGAUUGCACUAGGCUGUCACCCUUUUUGGCUUAGUCUUAGCGUAUCUUGAUGGUAUUGGGUUGAUUCUUGAAUCUAGUCGAAAAUAUAUAGGUGAACGUAGAGAUCAGCAGUUGAGACGAAGUAUUUAUCAUCCACAAACCGAAAGGGAUUAGGGAAAAAAGCCUGAGAAAACGUCCUUGGAAGGAGUAAUAUUUGAACAAAUGUUAGUGGAACCCAUCCAUCUUGUUACAUAAGCGAUAAUACAUGACAGAUGGAAAUCGGAGAACAUCAUUUUCCUAUUUUUUCUCCACUGAGGAAAAGAAGCAUUGUCCAAGCCAACAAUAAAGCAGACUUGCAUGAGAAUUUAAUUGUCCGUUGUGGAGGCUUGAAAGUUCUAUUUACACCUUACAACUGAUAAGGAGGAAAAAGAAAUGGAUAUGAUAAAAUGUGGGAGUGGCUUCUGGGCACACGGAAGGCACAUUCCCUGUAGUCAAAAAUCUGGACAUGGUGAAAGGUGAGUUUGCCACAGUCUAAUGAGUGGUUGUGUCGGUCUCCAACAAGAACACAACACUUUAGAAGUGUCCAUUCCAUUCAUGAACGGACAAUCAUGGCCGUGAUAAUAUCUCCAAGAUUCUACUUUAAUCAUUCAAGUUAAUCUUCCCCUUCUGAAAAGGAAACAUCUGUACUCCCUCUCAUAGAGGUAGUUUCCAGGUUUGCGUCACAGCUCUUUGCUUGUAAGUAAUUGCUUUAUGACAACAAUCUUCUUUAAUGCUUUAAAAUUCUUGAGCAUACCGUCUUUAUUACAUGAAGUCGAUAAAGUGAUGUAAUUUUAAUUUGAAUAGCAUUAGAAAAAGACAUGUUACACUACUUGAUGGAUAAGUAUUUGGCUGGGAAGGUGAGGAAAUAUCAUUCCAUGCCUGAAUUUUAUCAAACUGCCGUUGCGUAUUUAGUUCAUUAGAGAAGUGGUUUACCAGUUUAUGCUCAGUAUGUACUUUGUAGUUUGCAAAGACCGAAUAAAAGUUCUAUAGAAAAAGCCUAACUUUCCUUUGAAGGUACUGUUUGCUGUUGUUCUUGAGUAACUACUUGAGCAGAGAGAGACCAACACUACUUUUAUUUACUGACCCUACCCAGCCAAAACAGUAAAACCAGAAUAUACCGAGUUAGUUAUAUUAAAAACGGGAAGAUGGAUUCAAAACACAAAGAUUGAUAUUGAAUUUGCAAUAAUGAAAGUUCAUUCCUUUUUGUGUUUUAUUGCAAUUUUUUUCCCUUUUCCUGUGAUCAAAGAAGCCGUACCAAAUAUGCCCCUAGAAAGAUCAGAAGUAGUCAGAGCUGUAAUUGUGCGGACCUGUAAAGAACUCAAACGUGACAACGGGAUGAUAAUACGAUAUGAUGACAAUGCUGCAGUUGUUAUUGAUCAAGAAGGAAAUCCAAAAGGAACUCGAACUUUUGGGAAUCAGAUAGAUUCAUAUCUGAAAGAGGUUGACAACAAGUUCUUUCAAAAUUGACUAUUUGCCCCUCUGUUAGAGGUGUUCCAGAAAUGUCUGCGAUCGAGUAAAUAGCUCUACGAACGAAUGGAUCGGAUCGACUUGGAAAAUGGAAGCCGUUGCUUACAUUGGGUGGAAUUGCUCUUUGGAUGAAUUAUUAUGGGGUUUUGGGUAAAAGUCCGACAAGUAAAGUUCGUCGAUUAAUCAAAAAGUAUUUGGUACCCCUUUCUUUGGCAGAGGUAUGUGCAAAAUCUGAUUUUGAUGGUGUCUUAUGGAAACAAAUUGGCAAGAUUUUAAAAAAGAGUCGUAGUAAUCUUUAAAUUUCCAUAAAGGAAAAAAAAAACUUUGAAUUUAGUUUAUUAGUUCUUUUUCUGGAAUAACAUGACUUCUAUAAAAUUUCUCCUUAAAGAUUCUUGCUCGAACUUGUAAAGCAAUUAGGUUCAUGGUGCAAAGGAGGCUUACUUCGGUCAGCUACCAGAUGAUGUUUUGAUUUCCAUUCUCGCACAUUUGACAGUAAUAGAUGCAGCUAGGAUGAGCAUUUUAUCUAGAAGGUGGAAAUAUAUCUUUGCCUCUAUGCCUACAUUAGAAUUCGAACCCCUUGGCAGGUUUGGGAUUGACUCUUGCGAUCACAGUUGUUGCCCUUACGAUCAGCAAAAAUUCUUGAGAGAACAGUUAUUACAGCUUUAUUCGGGUCGUAAAGUGGCUAAUGUUGAGAUGACCUUUUGCUGUGGUAAAAAUUUUUUUUAGGGAAUUUGACCAAUGGAUGCAUUCUAUUUCAAGAUUAGGUGUUGAAAGACUACGUCUUUCAUUUGAUUGUGGCACUGAUCACCCCAUCUACAACUCCAACCCCAUACGCAACCCCAACAAAUUGUUUAAAUUUUCUCUUGAGCUUCUCUCUCAGGUAUCCUCAUUGAAACACCUGUUUUGUACCAUUGCAUUAUCCAACCAAGUUCCGGAGUCCGUCUUAAUUCCCUUAGGACCGUUACUUCGAACGGUGUAGCAAGCGGACAGCUUGAGAGUGUUUUUUCCUCUUGUUUGAAUCUUAACCAGUUAGAGCUAGCAUGUAGCAAACUUCCUUGUAAGCUAUGCAUCUCUGGCACAAUGACAUUCGUUUUUUUCUUAGCUUGUGGCGGAUUGGAAGAGAUUGAUCUUCGGGCUAAAAAUCUUCGUCGGUUUGAGUGUAUUUUUUUUUAGCAAAGUAAGAUUUUUUUUUCUUUUGUUCCCAUGUUGGAAAUUGUAAUGAUCAAUUUUAACGAAGCCGCUGCAAUGCCAUACAUAUUUGGUGAUUUUGCAAGAGAUUUACUUAUUCUCAGGUAUCUGAUGAUGUCUUGUCUUCUCAAAUUCCUUUGGUCUUUGUCCUUUUGAAGAUCCUGAUCAAUUAAAGCAUUCUUUAUUUCAGAUAAAAUACUUCCCAACCGAGACACAAAUGUUCAGAAACCUUAGGGAGCUAACCUUGGUACUUGUGUUCACGUACGACUUUGACAUAGUCAAAAUUUCCCCUCUCUUAAGCGCUUGUCCUCUUCUUCGACAUUUGGAUUUAGUUCAAUCGAGGACAACAAGGGGAGAAAGAGGAAGUGACAUGAGGCCUCCUUUAUCUCCUACAUGUCACACUAAGCUAAAAGAAGUGACAUUCGAUGGAUUUCAUGGAUCCAAAGCAGCGAUUGAAUUUGCUGUUUAUAUUCUGAGAAGUGCAAUGGUACUUGAACAAAUGUUUCUCAGCCCAUGUUUUAGUUGUUAUUCUGGUAGUGGUACAUGGGAGGAAAUGUUGGAUUUUUCACUCGAUGAAAGAAAACGCAACUCAAUCCAACAAGAACAACACGGGCAAGCUAUCUCUAGGAAUGCUGUGGUGAUCAUCCAAUAGGUUUUUGUACAACUACUACAUCAGCUCUCUACUGUCGUCAAUGGUAUGUAAACUUGUCGAGGUUAUGGAAGUACCUAUUUAUUUGUUAUUGCUAGACAAAGACUAUAUUUUAUGAUUUUCGAAUGGUAGUAGGUCCAUGCUUUAAUGAAGAGGCAUUAUCUGCUUGUGUUGCAUUUUCUUUUGUCCCCUUAGAAUGGCUGGUUGGCCCAGAUGCUCGUGUAAUUAUGUGA